UCCGUAGGUGGACAAAUAAGUCAGAGGUGAAAUCCUGCAGCUCAACUGUAGAACUGCCUUUGAUACUGUUUGUCUUGAGUUAUUAUGAAGUGGUUAGAAUGUGUAGUGUAGCGGUGAAAUGCAUAGAUAUUACACAGAAUACCGAUUGCGAAGGCAGAUCACUAAUAAUCAACUGACACUGAUGGACGAAAGCGUGGGUAGCGAACAGGAUUAGAUACCCUGGUAGUCCACGCCGUGACGAUGGUCACUAGCUGUUUGGACUUCGGUCUGAGUGGCUAAGCGAAAGUGAUAAGUGACCCACCUGGGAGUACGUUCGCAAGAAUGAGACUCAGAGGAAUUGACGGGCGCCCGCACAAGCGGUGGAGCAUGUGGUUUAAUUCGAUGA
Molecule: ribosomal RNA, 385 nt
Filed under: uncultured Bacteroidota bacterium
Lineage: Bacteria; Pseudomonadati; Bacteroidota
Description: bacterial SSU rRNA
Rfam family: Bacterial small subunit ribosomal RNA
Source: RNAcentral